AUUCUACUACCUCCGUUCCAUAAUACAUGCCUUCUAUUUGUCAAAAUAUAGAUGUAUUUAGACAUGUUUUAGUAUAUAGGUACAUCCACUUUUGGACAAAUGGAAGUCAAGUAUUUUGGAACGGAGGGAGUACACA
Non-coding RNA from Triticum aestivum (bread wheat), 136 nucleotides. The record is from Rfam. NCBI's taxonomy places the organism in Eukaryota, Viridiplantae, Streptophyta, Magnoliopsida, Poales, Poaceae.